This 429-nucleotide ribosomal RNA is filed under the name Chloroflexota bacterium. RNAcentral describes it as "Chloroflexi bacterium partial 16S ribosomal RNA". It matches the Rfam family "Bacterial small subunit ribosomal RNA", at positions 355 to 776 of the family's 1533-position model. The record is from RNAcentral. Lineage: Bacteria; Bacillati; Chloroflexota.
UGGGGAAUAUUGCACAAUGGGCGCAAGCCUGAUGCAGCCAUGCCGCGUGUGUGAAGAAGGCCUUCGGGUUGUAAAGCACUUUCAGCGGGGAGGAAGGCGUUAAGGUUAAUAACCUUGUCGAUUGACGUUACCCGCAGAAGAAGCACCGGCUAACUCCGUGCCAGCAGCCGCGGUAAUACGGAGGGUGCAAGCGUUAAUCGGAAUUACUGGGCGUAAAGCGCACGCAGGCGGUCUGUCAAGUCGGAUGUGAAAUCCCCGGGCUCAACCUGGGAACUGCAUUCGAAACUGGCAGGCUAGAGUCAUGGAGAGGGGGGUAGAAUUCCAGGUGUAGCGGUGAAAUGCGUAGAGAUCUGGAGGAAUACCGGUGGCGAAGGCGGCCCCCUGGACAAAGACUGACGCUCAGGUGCGAAAGCGUGGGGAGCAAACAGG